AUUGACGGACUGAAGGCUCUUUCUCGAUUCCGUGGAAAGUGGUGCAUGGCCGUUUUUGGUUGGUGGAUCGAUCCGUCUGGUUAAUUCCGUUAACGAACGAGACCUCGGCACUCCGAAUAGCGCGGCGGACGUCGCGGCCUCCGGGCCGUCUUCCGCACGAGCUUCUUAGAGGGACCGUCCCCCGCCGGGGAAGGAGGUGCGAGGCAACGACAGGUCUGUGAUGCCCUUAGAUGUUCUGGGCCGCACGCGCAUUACACUGACGCGUCCAACGGGUGACUCCCGACCCGAAGGGGCCGGGGAAUCCGCAAGGCGCGUCGUGAUGGGGAUUGAACGUUGCAAUUGUUGUUCACGAACGAGGAAUUCCUAGUAGGCGCGGGUCAUCAACCCGCGCCGAUUACGUCCCUGCCCUUUGUACACACCGCCC
This 424-nucleotide ribosomal RNA is filed under the name uncultured eukaryote. RNAcentral describes it as "bacterial SSU rRNA". It matches the Rfam family "Eukaryotic small subunit ribosomal RNA", at positions 1239 to 1674 of the family's 1831-position model. The record is from RNAcentral.